RNAcentral lists this transfer RNA (76 nucleotides) under Polaromonas sp. RNAcentral describes it as "tRNA-Gly". It matches the Rfam family "tRNA". Rfam says of the family: Transfer RNA (tRNA) molecules are approximately 80 nucleotides in length. RNAcentral also lists the same sequence under 1 other name. The record is from RNAcentral. Lineage: Bacteria; Pseudomonadati; Pseudomonadota; Betaproteobacteria; Burkholderiales; Comamonadaceae.
GCGGGCUUAGCUCAGUUGGUAGAGCGUCAGUUUCCCAUACUGAAGGUCACCGGUUCGAGACCGGUAGCCCGCUCCA